UUAUUUUAUAACAUUUGCAGUGGGGUUUGGGGAUUUCUAACAUAUAGAAAGAUCUUGAUUGACCAGCCUAAAGUGAAGAAAGAUCCCAGGGGAUGGGAGCUCAAAUUUGCAAGGAGAAGUUUCUUCCAAUCUCAAAGAUCAGUGUUAACAUCAGAGCUUAGUGUGAAGUUCUUCGCUCAUAAGGAGAAGACCUCGGAUAAGUCAACCGGCAAAGCAUCUAUGUUCAUGGGCGGAACUCUGCAGCCAAAAUUUAAUUAUCAGCCCAGAAGGAUGUUUGGUACAGUGGCAUUGACGCUGUUGAAAGCGCUAAGGAAGGCAUGACGAAGGAGUUGGCAAUAUCUUGCAAUUUACCCCCAAUCAUGUACCUGCAUUCAAGUAUUCAGUGUGCAGGAUGUGCUAAACGUGGGAUGUCGUAGCAAAGUAGCAGUAACUUAAGCUCAACUUCGCAAUAAUUCUGAAUCAUGUUUUGUAAAGGAAGUUAAAAGCCCAUGCGAGUGAGACAAUGGUUGCGGUGUGGCUGACAGUAGCCACAACUAUUACUCUUUUCAAUCAUAAUGGUGCAAGAAUGUUCUAUUCUCCUUAACCUGAU
This 589-nucleotide ribosomal RNA is filed under the name Triticum aestivum (bread wheat). RNAcentral describes it as "partial small subunit ribosomal RNA". The record is from RNAcentral. Lineage: Eukaryota; Viridiplantae; Streptophyta; Magnoliopsida; Poales; Poaceae.